ACGUAGGGGGCAAGCGUUAUCCGGAAUUAUUGGGCGUAAAGAGUGCGUAGGUGGUUUUUUAAGCGUGAGUUUAAAGGCAAUGGCUUAACUAUUGGAAGCAUUGCAAACUGGAAGACUUGAGUGCAGGAGAGGAAAGUGGAAUUCCUAGUGUAGCGGUGAAAUGCGUAGAUAUUAGGAGGAACACCAGUGGCGAAGGCGGCUUUCUGGACUGUAACUGACACUGAGGCGCGAAAGCGUGGGGAGCAAACAG
Molecule: ribosomal RNA, 250 nt
Filed under: uncultured prokaryote
Description: partial 16S rRNA
Rfam family: Bacterial small subunit ribosomal RNA
Source: RNAcentral